AAUCCAUAGGUUAAUGAGGCGAACCGGGGGAACUGAAACAUCUAAGUACCCCGAGGAAAAGAAAUCAACCGAGAUUCCCCCAGUAGCGGCGAGCGAACGGGGAGGAGCCCAGAGCCUGAAUCAGCAUGUGUGUUAGUGGAAGCGUCUGGAAAGGCGCGCGAUACAGGGUGACAGCCCCGUACACAAAAGCGCAUGUGCUGUGAGCUCGAUGAGUAGGGCGGGACACGUGGUAUCCUGUCUGAAUAUGGGGGGACCAUCCUCCAAGGCUAAAUACUCCUGACUGACCGAUAGUGAACCAGUACCGUGAGGGAAAGGCGAAAAGAACCCCGGCGAGGGGAGUGAAAAAGAACCUGAAACCGUGUACGUACAAGCAGUGGGAGCACCCUUUGGGUGUGACUGCGUACCUUUUGUAUAAUGGGUCAGCGACUUAUAUUCUGUAGCAAGGUUAACCGAAUAGGGGAGCCGGAGGGAAACCGAGUCUUAACCGGGCGUUAAGUUGCAGGGUAUAGACCCGAAACCCGGUGAUCUAGCCAUGGGCAGGUUGAAGGUUGGGUAACACUAACUGGAGGACCGAACCGACUAAUGUUGAAAAAUUAGCGGAUGACCUGUGGCUGGGGGUGAAAGGCCAAUCAAACCGGGAGAUAGCUGGUUCUCCCCGAAAGCUAUUUAGGUAGCGCCUCGUGAAUUCAUCUCCGGGGGUAGAGCACUGUUUCGGCUAGGGGGCCAUCCCGGCUUACCAACCCGAUGCAAACUGCGAAUACCGGAGAAUGUUAUCACGGGAGACACACGGCGGGUGCUAACGUCCGUCGUGAAGAGGGAAACAACCCAGACCGCCAGCUAAGGUCCCAAAGUCAUGGUUAAGUGGGAAACGAUGUGGGAAGGCCCAGACAGCCAGGAUGUUGGCUUAGAAGCAGCCAUCAUUUAAAGAAAGCGUAAUAGCUCACUGGUCGAGUCGGCCUGCGCGGAAGAUGUAACGGGGCUAAACCAUGCACCGAAGCUGCGGCAGCGACACUGUGUGUUGUUGGGUAGGGGAGCGUUCUGUAAGCCUGUGAAGGU
This 1056-nucleotide ribosomal RNA is filed under the name Salmonella enterica subsp. enterica serovar Enteritidis. Its description in RNAcentral is "partial 23S ribosomal RNA". It matches the Rfam family "Bacterial large subunit ribosomal RNA", at positions 161 to 1257 of the family's 2925-position model. Lineage: Bacteria; Pseudomonadati; Pseudomonadota; Gammaproteobacteria; Enterobacterales; Enterobacteriaceae. The record is from RNAcentral.